This 400-nucleotide ribosomal RNA is filed under the name phytoplankton environmental sample. RNAcentral's name for it is "partial small subunit ribosomal RNA". It matches the Rfam family "Eukaryotic small subunit ribosomal RNA", at positions 587 to 989 of the family's 1831-position model. The record is from RNAcentral.
AGCUCCAAUAGCGUAUAUUAAAGUUGUUGCAGUUAAAAAGCUCGUAGUUGGAUCUCGGGUUGUCGUCGCUGGUCUCUGCAUGUCGGAGUUACUGGCGGCGAUGCCUAACUAGUGGGAUGCUGUGGGUGCCCUUAGCUGGGUCGCCCAUGACACCUACUCAAUUUACUUUGAAAAAAUUAGAGUGUUCAAAGCAGGCUCUCACGCCUGAAUAAUGGUGCAUGGAAUAAUGGAAUAGGAUCUCGGUUCUAUUUUGUUGGUUUUCGGAACUUGAGAUAAUGAUUAAGAGGGACAGACGGGGGCAUUCGUAUUGCGGUGUUAGAGGUGAAAUUCUUGGAUCGCCGCAAGACGGACUACUGCGAAAGCAUUUGCCAAGAAUGUUUUCAUUAAUCAAGAACGAAAG